RNAcentral lists this long non-coding RNA (2316 nucleotides) under Gallus gallus (chicken). Lineage: Eukaryota; Metazoa; Chordata; Aves; Galliformes; Phasianidae. The record is from RNAcentral.
ACUUUCAUCACUGGAUAUAUUCCUGUUAAAGAUGGCAGACGUUUGUCGUAAAAACUGAUCCAAUCGCAGAGCUUUCUCCAGGUACUGCAGAUAAAGGGGUUUUGCCAGCUCUGAGCAGCUGCCAUCCUCCCUGGCACCCAGCUCCGAGGCCAUAGAACAAACUUCUCCUCAUGCACAGAUGCCUCUGAACACGCAGCUGGGGCGCGGGCCCGGCUGCGGUGCGGCGCGGGCGCUGGGGGUGUCCCCGGGGCUCGCCGCCCCGCUCGCUCCGCCCGGCCUCUCGCAGCUCGUCGACGGGGCCGCCGCUGCCCGUCUCCUGCCGCGGGGCGCUCCCGGCUCCUGCCUCGCCAAGAUGGCGCCCGCGCUGCUACUGAGGAGGAGGCGGCGGCUGCGGGCGCUGGGACGGCGGCGGCGGCCACUUUCGCUCACUGAGAGGAGAGGAGCAGGGACACGGGGAGCCAUGGCGGGGGGGAGGAGAGGCGCCAUGGCCAGGCCUGAAUAAUCGAGCCCCGCACGCCGGCCCGCCGCUCCGGUCCCGCACUUCGGCCCCGCCGCCCCGCCGGCGUCUCCGCCGCUGCCGUACGAGCCCCGGGGCCGCCCCGCGGGCGGCGGCCCUGCGCGUAGCCCGCGGGGGGUUCGCACCCAUCGAUGCGCUCUUUGGGCCGAUUGGUAGAGUCUGGCGGUGACGGAAAUAGCCGAAGGGAUUCGGGCGAAGCGGCCGGGUGAGCCGGCGAGUCUCGCGCGAGGCGGGGGCAGCUCUCGCGAUGUCUGCGGCGGGAGGCGGAUGUACACCGGAAGUGACGUACGCUCGCCCUUGAGCCGCCGGAAGGGCGGUGGGGUUGCUGGCGGCGGCUGCGAGGAGCGGCCACGAGUCUCUUGUGGCGGGCGGCAGCGGCCCGGUCCUGGGCUGUGUGGGGAGGGCGCCCUCGUGACGGUUGUACGGGCAGAACGGCUGUCGCGUGCGGAGCUGCGUGCGUUUUGCUAUACUCGAGAGUUACGGCAGAUGAGCUUGAAACAACGCCAGCCUGAAUGUGAUAGCGAGGGCACGACACGUUAUGUUUGCUGGACCGCAGCUCGGCACGGCUAUCUCCCACAAUCCAUUAAGUAGUACCACUGGUCAGCGCGUUAAUGAUUUGCAGUGCUUCAGCUCACUCCCUGCAGAGACAGCAGUUUGUACCUUUUCACCACAUUCUGACAGCACAUGAGAGAGCAGAGGGUAGCACAGCAGCUUGGGAAAAAAGCAAGACUACUUGUACUUCCCAAAAAAGCUUCCUACAGUUGUCCUUGUCUGCAGGCAUCCCUGACUACACCUAGCAGUUACACUAAGGAAGAGAAGUGCACAACUUUGCCCCAUGUGACUAAGCUUAGAAAAAUGAACCAUAUCAAGUGCUAGCACAGAGCAUUACAAAUUGAGAAAUAUUUGGUGAAGUCCUACUUUCUUCUCCUUUAAAAAAAAGGAUUGAGAACAAUCUAAUGCAUCAAGACUGACAGGUUGGUCCCAACCUAUUUUUUUUCCCCACACCAUUUACAAAAGACAACAAGGGAGAGCUGCAGUCCUGUUUACCCUGAAGAUUUUGCUGAAGCAACACAGUCCAGGUGUGCAUCUCAGUUUUGUCCAUAUCCUGGAUAAGGGCACUCUACAACCACUCUCCUACAUCCCAGACUCAACACCUUCACACCCAACUAUUCCCAACCCCAAUAUCCAAUACCCUGCAACUUUCCCCAUUUUUCUGUAAUGGGACCAGAUGGGCCCAGGUGAUUUCAGUUCUGGAAAUACACUGCAAGCAGUUCUGUGCUGGCUCUGAAGACCCUGCAUAUUUCACAUCACAACUCACUGACUUCUGGGAACGCAUCACUGCUUGAAAGCCUUGUUCCAGAUGAACAACAUCACACAGUCCAGCACUGAGAAGGGGCCCAACCCAGCAUCUCCUAGCAGACCAAACAAGUCUCAAUCUCCACAUAAAAAGCCAUAAGAAACAUUUCAAACCUGUUUUAUUUUUCUACAGUGACCCAAGAUAAAAGAACUAUGCACUUCAACUACAGAAUACUGCUAAAGAUGAGAAAAAUACAAAAAGUGCACUAUGAAAGAUCAAACCUUCCAACUUUUUUCUGCCAGUUCCAGAUAUAAAUAUAUCUGGAGUUUCAAAAACCUUAUUUAAUUACUUGUGGUCUAGUAUUUUAACGAAUAACAGACAAAGUACACUGGAAAUUAAUUUUGCCUAUCUUUCUUGGGGAAAAUGCUAGACAGAGUUUACACUAAUUUAACUGCUUUCCCUUACUUUUAGAACAGAUGCUUUUUGGCAUACACACAUUACU